CACUAUCGUUAACUGAAUACAUAGGUUAACGAGGCGAACCGGGGGAACUGAAACAUCUAAGUACCCCGAGGAAAAGAAAUCAACCGAGAUUCCCCCAGUAGCGGCGAGCGAACGGGGAGCAGCCCAGAGUCUGAAUCAGCUUGUGUGUUAGUGGAACGGUCUGGAAAGUCCGACGGUACAGGGUGAUAGUCCCGUACACCAAAAUGCACAGGUUGUGAACUCGAAGAGUAGGGCGGGACACGUGGUAUCCUGUCUGAAUAUGGGGGGACCAUCCUCCAAGGCUAAAUACUCCUGACUGACCGAUAGUGAACCAGUACCGUGAGGGAAAGGCGAAAAGAACCCCGGCGAGGGGAGUGAAAAAGAACCUGAAACCGUGUACGUACAAGCAGUGGGAGCACCUUCGGGUGUGACUGCGUACCUUUUGUAUAAUGGGUCAGCGACUUAUAUUCUGUAGCAAGGUUAACCGUAUAGGGGAGCCGCAGGGAAACCGAGUCUUAACUGGGCGUUAAGUUGCAGGGUAUAGACCCGAAACCCGGUGAUCUAGCCAUGGGCAGGUUGAAGGUUGGGUAACACUAACUGGAGGACCGAACCGACUAAUGUUGAAAAAUUAGCGGAUGACUUGUGGCUGGGGGUGAAAGGCCAAUCAAACCGGGAGAUAGCUGGUUCUCCCCGAAAGCUAUUUAGGUAGCGCCUCGUGAAUUCAUCUUCGGGGGUAGAGCACUGUUUCGGCUAGGGGGUCAUCCCGACUUACCAACCCGAUGCAAACUACGAAUACCGAAGAAUGUUAUCACGGGAGACACACGGCGGGUGCUAACGUCCGUCGUGAAGAGGGAAACAACCCAGACCGCCAGCUAAGGUCCCAAAGUCAUGGUUAAGUGGGAAACGAUGUGGGAAGGCACAGACAGCCAGGAUGUUGGCUUAGAAGCAGCCAUCAUUUAAAGAAAGCGUAAUAGCUCACUGGUCGAGUCGGCCUGCGCGGAAGAUGUAACGGGGCUAAACCAUGCACCGAAGCUGCGGCAGCGACACUAUGUGUUGUUGGGUAGGGGAGCGUUCUGUAAGCCUGCGAAGGUGUGCUGUGAGGCAUGCUGGAGGUAUCAGAAGUGCGAAUGCUGACAUAAGUAACGAUAAAGCGGGUGAAAAGCCCGCUCGCCGGAAGACCAAGGGUUCCUGUCCAACGUUAAUCGGGGCAGGGUGAGUCGACCCCUAAGGCGAGGCCGAAAGGCGUAGUCGAUGGGAAACAGGUUAAUAUUCCUGUACUUGGUGUUACUGCGAAGGGGGGACGGAGAAGGCUAUGUUAGCCGGGCGACGGUUGUCCCGGUUUAAGCAUGUAGGCUGGUUGUCCAGGCAAAUCCGGAUAAUCAAGGCUGAGGUGUGAUGACGAGGCACUACGGUGCUGAAGUAACAAAUGCCCUGCUUCCAGGAAAAGCCUCUAAGCAUCAGGUAACAUCAAAUCGUACCCCAAACCGACACAGGUGGUCAGGUAGAGAAUACCAAGGCGCUUGAGAGAACUCGGGUGAAGGAACUAGGCAAAAUGGUGCCGUAACUUCGGGAGAAGGCACGCUGGUGUGUAGGUGAAGUCCCUGCGGAUGGAGCUGAGACCAGUCGAAGAUACCAGCUGGCUGCAACUGUUUAUUAAAAACACAGCACUGUGCAAACACGAAAGUGGACGUAUACGGUGUGACGCCUGCCCGGUGCCGGAAGGUUAAUUGAUGGGGUUAUCCGUAAGGAGAAGCUCUUGAUCGAAGCCCCGGUAAACGGCGGCCGUAACUAUAACGGUCCUAAGGUAGCGAAAUUCCUUGUCGGGUAAGUUCCGACCUGCACGAAUGGCGUAAUGAUGGCCAGGCUGUCUCCACCCGAGACUCAGUGAAAUUGAACUCGCUGUGAAGAUGCAGUGUACCCGCGGCAAGACGGAAAGACCCCGUGAACCUUUACUAUAGCUUGACACUGAACAUUGAGCCUUGAUGUGUAGGAUAGGUGGGAGGCUUUGAAGCGUGGACGCCAGUCUGCGUGGAGCCAACCUUGAAAUACCACCCUUUAAUGUUUGAUGUUCUAACGUUGGCCCCUUACCGGGGUUGCGGACAGUGUCUGGUGGGUAGUUUGACUGGGGCGGUCUCCUCCCAAAGCGUAACGGAGGAGCACGAAGGUUAGCUAAUCCUGGUCGGACAUCAGGAGGUUAGUGCAAUGGCAUAAGCUAGCUUGACUGCGAGCGUGACGGCGCGAGCAGGUGCGAAAGCAGGUCAUAGUGAUCCGGUGGUUCUGAAUGGAAGGGCCAUCGCUCAACGGAUAAAAGGUACUCCGGGGAUAACAGGCUGAUACCGCCCAAGAGUUCAUAUCGACGGCGGUGUUUGGCACCUCGAUGUCGGCUCAUCACAUCCUGGGGCUGAAGUAGGUCCCAAGGGUAUGGCUGUUCGCCAUUUAAAGUGGUACGCGAGCUGGGUUUAGAACGUCGUGAGACAGUUCGGUCCCUAUCUGCCGUGGGCGCUGGAGAAUUGAGGGGGGCUGCUCCUAGUACGAGAGGACCGGAGUGGACGCAUCACUGGUGUUCGGGUUGUCAUGCCAAUGGCACUGCCCGGUAGCUAAAUGCGGAAGAGAUAAGUGCUGAAAGCAUCUAAGCACGAAACUUGCCCCGAGAUGAGUUCUCCCUGAGACUUUAAGUCUCCUGAAGGAACGUUAAAGACGAUGACGUUGAUAGGCCGGGUGUGUAAGCGCAGCGAUGCGUUGAGCUAACCGGUACUAAUGAACCGUGAGGCUUAACCUU
RNAcentral lists this ribosomal RNA (2758 nucleotides) under Klebsiella pneumoniae. Its description in RNAcentral is "bacterial LSU rRNA". It matches the Rfam family "Bacterial large subunit ribosomal RNA". The record is from RNAcentral. Lineage: Bacteria; Pseudomonadati; Pseudomonadota; Gammaproteobacteria; Enterobacterales; Enterobacteriaceae.